GACGAACGCUGGCGGCGUGCUUAACACAUGCAAGUCGAACGCUGAAGACCUGGCUUUUGUUGGGUUGGAUGAGUGGCGAACGGGUGAGUAACACGUGAGUAACCUGCCCUCUUCUUUGGGAUAACGCCCGGAAACGGGUGCUAAUACUGGAUAUUCACUGGCCUUCGCAUGGGGGUUGGUGGAAAGGGUUGUUCUGGUGGGGGAUGGGCUCGCGGCCUAUCAGCUUGUUGGUGGGGUGAUGGCCUACCAAGGCUUUGACGGGUAGCCGGCCUGAGAGGGUGACCGGUCACCUUGGGACUGGGAUACGGCCCAGACUCCUACGGGAGGCGGCAGUGGGGAAUAUUGCACGAUGGGCGAAAGCCUGAUGCAGCGACGACGCGUGAGGGGUGGAGGCCUUCGGGUUGUAAACCUCUUUCGCUCAUGGUCAAGCCGCAACUGUGGGUUGUGGUGAGGGUAGUGGGUAAAGAAGCGCCGGCUAACUACGUG
Molecule: ribosomal RNA, 486 nt
Filed under: uncultured bacterium
Lineage: Bacteria
Description: partial 16S ribosomal RNA
Rfam family: Bacterial small subunit ribosomal RNA
Source: RNAcentral